RNAcentral lists this ribosomal RNA (216 nucleotides) under Glomeromycotina sp. RNAcentral's name for it is "partial small subunit ribosomal RNA". The stretch from base 40 to 216 matches the Rfam family "Eukaryotic small subunit ribosomal RNA", at positions 686 to 864 of the family's 1831-position model. The record is from RNAcentral. Lineage: Eukaryota; Fungi; Glomeromycota.
GGGUCAGUAGGUUGGUCGUGCCACCGGUACGUACUGGUCUCACUGAUUCCUCCUUCCUGAAGAACCGUAAUGCCAUUAAUUUGGUGUUGCGGGGAAACAGGACUGUGACUUUGAAAAAAUUAGAGUGUUUAAAGCAAGCUAACCCUUGAAUACAUUAGCAUGGAAUAAUGAAAUAGGACGAUCGAUCCUAUUUUGUUGGUUUCUAGGAUUGACGUA